UCCAUCAACAGUUUACACGACCUCUUUCUU
RNAcentral lists this non-coding RNA (30 nucleotides) under Mus musculus (house mouse). The record is from RNAcentral. Lineage: Eukaryota; Metazoa; Chordata; Mammalia; Rodentia; Muridae.